This is a non-coding RNA of Cordylochernes scorpioides, 113 nucleotides long. The record is from the annotation of a GenBank genome assembly. NCBI's taxonomy places the organism in Eukaryota, Metazoa, Arthropoda, Arachnida, Pseudoscorpiones, Chernetidae.
ACACCAUACCAUAUUGGAAACAACGUUUUCCGUCAAAUCACCAAAGUUAAGCAAUAUCGGAUCCGGUCAGUACUUGGGAGGGUGACCACUUGGAAAUAACUUGUGGUGUUCUA